UACGUAUGGUGCAAGCGUUAUUCGGAUUUAUUGGGCGUAAAGGGUCCGCAGGUGGUUUGUUAAGUCUGAUGUGAAAUCCCAUGGCUCAACCAUGGAACUGCAUUGGAAACUGGCAAACUAGAGUAUCGGAGAGGUGAGUGGAAUUCCAGGUGUAGCGGUGGAAUGCGUAGAUAUCUGGAGGAACACCAAGAGCGAAGGCAGCUCACUGGACGAUUACUGACACUCAGGGACGAAGGCGUGGGGAGCGAAAAGG
RNAcentral lists this ribosomal RNA (253 nucleotides) under uncultured bacterium. RNAcentral describes it as "partial 16S ribosomal RNA". It matches the Rfam family "Bacterial small subunit ribosomal RNA", at positions 524 to 776 of the family's 1533-position model. The record is from RNAcentral.